AUGGGAGGGGGUGGGGGGUACUGCCUAUUACAGACACUUCAUGGCAUUAGGCCCCGCCCCGCCCCUUCACCAUACACACGCGAAUUCGCGACAUUUUGCCCGCUGGGGGGCGGGGCUACGGUUAUUACUCACGCCCACUCUACCCUAUACAAGAAAUAAAACUCACCAACUGCGCUGAUCCCUGGGGCCGGCAGGAAGGGUUAUUUCACUCUGCAGCAGCUCCCCGCCCACUCCUUCAUGCAAACACAGGCAUCUAGCAGCUCCAACACACUAACACUUUGCCCUGUCCCCGGGAUGCCUGCAGUGCCCGAGCCCGGCUCUCAGCGGCUGUACGGCACCUGGAGAUGUGUACAGCGCUACACGCGGGACUUUCCCCGCAGCAGCACCGCAGCUAUACCUGCCCACCAAGCGCGGAGUUUCUGUCGGCGGAACCAGCACAACAUACAUAGGAGAUGUGAUUCAGCACAGGGCGCCCAGGGACCUUGGAAUCCUAGCGCUAAAUCCGCCCCGUGAUGCGGGACCCUCACCGUGGCGGGAGAUGUCGGGGUGUCAUCGCCGUGACGGGAGCGGGAGACAUUGAAGCUGCCAAUUCAGCCGUUGUUAUUCGAAAACCGUUGGGAUGAUCAGGCGGCUCGCGGCUCUGAUGUGGGCGUGGCUUACAGUGAGGGCUCGAGACGUUCCCUGUAGGCGUGGCCCGAAGACGCACUGACCUUCUUCCUAUUCGGGACUCCGCUGGGGUUUCCAAAUGGUAGAUGCUAGAAUCAAGUGGGCUAAGGGACCUUUUCCGUAAGGGGGAGGAGUUACGACGCAAGGGGGAGGAGCUAGGCCAGCGGGAUAGUUCCUCUACUAUCCACCCCACCAACUAUUACCUUUAGUAAUCAGGUGGCGAGCGAAGCGAACCUGCGAGGGUACUUUUCGGGUACCCUGUCCGCCCGUAGCUCCUCCCCCUGGUGACGUGUCUCCUCCCCUAGGUACGUCACAAGGUCCCUUCUACCACUCCGAUAUAGAUGCGCAGGGUGUUGACCCCCCCCCCCCCCCCCCGUCAGGCCGUAGUGGUUGCUGGGAGGUCGGGGGCGGAGCCAGUGCGAGGUGUCGAGCAGGGAAGCAUUGAACUUCCCUGCCGUCUCCGCACUACAGUUCAGGUUACGCUGUCCUGAGAUGGCGAACCUGAACUCCAUGGAGAAGCGCACCUUCAUGAAUCGCACUCACCAUACAAAAGGUAUGGUGAUGCGAUUCAGGCACAGAGCAGGGGUACCGCUGGAGAAGUCAGAGACUUCUCCACGGUAACCCGCUCUGUGAAUUGCAGUAGGCAGAGAAAAGCCCUGUUUAAUGCAAAACAGGGCUUUUCAAUGCUACAUGAAUAGACCCUAAAAGGUAAUAGUGAGUGGCGUCAAUAGUAGAGGAACUAUCCCGCUGGCCUAGCUCCUCCCCAUUGUGUCGUGUCUCCUCCCCCUGUCACAAAAGGUCCCUUAGGCCACUUGAAUCUAGCAUCAAUGUGACGGUCAGAAGGUCCCUGCUCCCACUCCGAUUUAGAACCAACCAUUUCCAAAUGCGGAUAGAUGCCACUACCGACUCCCAUGACAUACAUAACCUACUUCAUGAAACACAUGAACCUACAGUUUUAACAACUUCUGGACGUGGAACUCCCUUUUUAAACCAGACAUGCUGUGCUCCGUUGUAUCUGCUUGAAAAAGGUAUUGCCAUACUGAACGCUUCAUGUGGUUACGAAGUUGUCAUCUGGCCGGCUGCAGAGAUCAGAAAUAGAAGCACCAGCAGGGGAAUUUGGAACUAUUGGUGUUUGUGAUAUGACUUCUGGCUUCUGUUAUCUGUGAGGAAACGGCGUUGGGCUGUAUCAGUGGUUCAUACAGUUUUUUGAAUCGCGGUGGCCUAGGGUAUCAAAAUUUUGUUUUCAGUGGCACCUCUAGCUCCAAUAUUUCUUAAUUGUGAAAUUCAGAAAUACAUUAAAUUAAGUAAAUUGUG
Molecule: long non-coding RNA, 1980 nt
Organism: Pseudophryne corroboree (corroboree frog)
Lineage: Eukaryota; Metazoa; Chordata; Amphibia; Anura; Myobatrachidae
Exons: 2
Source: RefSeq, a predicted model, not a curated record